Long non-coding RNA from Osmerus eperlanus (European smelt), 2522 nucleotides. RefSeq lists it as uncharacterized. The record is from RefSeq and is a predicted model, not a curated record. The transcript has 6 exons. NCBI's taxonomy places the organism in Eukaryota, Metazoa, Chordata, Actinopteri, Osmeriformes, Osmeridae.
UUGGGUGCUACAUUCAAGCGAUCCUCAAUUGAAACGAGUCUGCUGGCCGACUAUACAACAUGAAUCACUAUGUAAUGGGACUAAAUUUACAUGGCACAAGAGAGGAGAUGGCCAGGCAAGGGUUGACAAAUGUCACAUUUGAUGACUAUGAUGGCGCCAUUGGAUUUGUUAAUAUACAAAACAUGCACUGGAAGUUUGUGUAUCUUCAUGCCCUCUCAAGCCGCAUUUUUGUGGUUGAUCCUCUGCAGGGACAAAUGAAGUUGAGGACUCCAGAAAGGUUGGCCACAGAUUUGGGUAAUAUCAAAUAGAUUAAUGGAAAUAGAUAGGUAACACACACAUUUGUUAAAGCCAUAGAGUAGACGCAAAGGUUAACCAAAAUAGAUUUUCCUUUCAUCCUGUAGACAAUAUUUCAAGAUGCGCCGGAACAGACUUGGAAAGCAGGACUGGGUUAACAUCAAGUGGAAACCUGGCAAGAUAACCCACACCUUUCAGAAAGACCCCACCAGUUGUGGGGUCUUUGUCAUGCAGAUGGCCAAGAUGACAGUGAUGGAGUUUCCAAAGAUGCCACAGUCGUUUCAGAUUAACUCAUCAAAACAGUCUCUUAAAAAACAAAGAAGACUCAUGGCAGAAGAAAUUCUCAGAGCAUCAGUUUCAAAGGAUGACUUCUGUUCCUUCUGUGGAAAUAAGGACCUGCCAAAACCUGCUGUAGAUGAUGUUUGGAUUCAGUGUGGAACUUGCACAAGAUGGUUUCACACGAAGUGCCUUGGAAUGGCAGCUGCACAAAUACCAAACAAAGAUACCCCUUGGGAUUAUGUGUUUUGUCACAGCCCUAGCUAAAGAGGCUGUAGGUGAGUUUGGGGUUUAGGUCUGGAUAACUAAAUUAUCCAAAAUGUCAACUACUGCAACAAUGGUAAUUGUACACAAACUGCAUAUAAAGAACAUUAAACCCACCCAGAAAAAGUAAACAAAAGCUAGAAAAUGUGUACUUAAUUUGUGUUUUUCCAUUAUUAUAUAAUACAGAUCAGAAAAUAUUUUCUAUGUGAAGAUUAACAUUAUGGAUGUGUUCAAUAUGAAUGUGUGAUAUUGAUAUUUAAGUUUGUUCUGCUACCUAUUUUUGUUUCAGUUUGCAUAAAAUUUUACGUAACAUUUUUACGUACUAAAUGUUCAGUCUCAAAUCAUAUUUUAAGGCACCAACAUCUACACUUUAAGUUUUUUUUGUAGUACAACCAGCUUCUCUAGAGUAUUUUGUCAGACAUUCUCUAUGUAAUUAUGACAUAUUUCUUGGAAUAAAAAAUACCCCAAAAUUAUGCAUGUCUAUUUUUGAAAAGUAAUCGUUAUAGUUCAAUAAUUAGGUGAGUAGUUACAGUGAGGUAAGUAUAAAAACACUUAUCUUUGUAAUUAUUAAAGUAUUUAAUAAUAUGUAUAUGUUUUUAGCAAUAAAUAUUCCAUAAAAUUAUGGAUGUGCUUAUUUUUGAAAAGUAAGUGAUGUAGUACAACCAACAGAAGACUAGUUAUGUGUGAUGCAAUUUCAGAGACACAACUGUAUUUAAAUAUAAAAAUAUUAAACAUUUUUGGCAAAAAAUAUAUUCCCCAAAAUUAGGAUUAUGCUUAUUUCUGAAGAGUAAAUGCUGUAGUACAACCAGUAGAAGACUAGUUAUGUGUGAGGCAAGUUUAGAGACACAACUGUAUUUAAAUAUAAAAAUAUUAAACGUUUUUGGCAAAAAAUAUUCCCCAAAAUUAGGAUUAUACGUAUUUUGAAAAGUAAGUGCUGUAGUACAACCAGUAGAAGAGUAUUUAUGUGUGAGGCAAGUUUAAAGACACAACUGUAUUUAAUUAUAAAACUAUUAAACGAUUUUGGCAAAAAAUAUUCACCAAAAAUAGGAUUAUGCUUAUUUUUGAAAAGUAAGGGCUGUAGUACAACCAACAUAAUACUAUUGAUGUGUGAGGAAAGUUUAAAGACACAACUGUAUUUAAUGAUUAAACUAUUAAACGUUUUUGGCAAAAAAUAUUCCCACAAAUUAGGAUUACACUUAUUUUUUUUAAGUAAGUGCUGUAGUACAACCAGUAGAAGAGUAUUUAUGUGUGAGGCAAGUUUAAAGACACAACUGUAUUUAAUGAUUAAACUAUUAAACAUUUUGUGCAAAAGAUAUUCCCAUAAAUUAUGAUUAUGCUUAUUUUUGAAAAGUAAGUGCUGUAGUACAACCAGCAGGAGACAAGUUAUAAUUGAGGUACGUUUGGAAAUGCUACCUUAUUUAAACAUUAAAUUAAAAAAUAUUUUUGUUGUAUCUCUUUUCGCUGUUGUAGUUUGUAGACGGUCCCUGAGCGCUCGUCUUACUGCCGGCUGCUCGUAGAGACCAAUGUUAUUUCUUCAGGUUGCAGGACGGCUCGUUUUGAUGAAAAUGACUUUGUAGCUCGUUCUUUACCUUACUACAGUACGAAAUAUGCGUUAUUUGUGAUUUAAUAACAUUUCGCUAUAGAGUUAUUGAUCCCGGAAGUUUGAAUCUGUGAAUGUCAUGCCAACU